RNAcentral lists this long non-coding RNA (1017 nucleotides) under Homo sapiens (human). Its description in RNAcentral is "HSALNT0098125". The record is from RNAcentral. Lineage: Eukaryota; Metazoa; Chordata; Mammalia; Primates; Hominidae.
GCAGGCACACACCACCAAUGAGUGAAGAAGGCUGCUGUGGCAUGCUCGGGACCUAGAGGGAACCUGCCUCAUUGACAGGGGACAGCAGCUGCACAGCUCCAGACAAUCGUUGUCAAGGACGGGAAUGAGAUUCUAACAUGGCUGAUCUGAUUUUUCAAGAAAGAUGAGAAAAAUAGUAAUGGAGGAAAUGGAAGGAAAAAGGAUGGCCAUAAGUUGGAGGCAGGUGAAAGACCCAAAUUCAUGGAAGAGAAGUGAGUCACACAGGGAGCCAGUGGCAGAGCCACACCCCACAGAGCAAUCAACAUGCUCUACUCUGCAGACCUGCAACAGGGAGGGAAGCCAGACUCUGAUGCAAGAAGGAAAGACCAUGUGCUGGCUCAGUGUGUGCAGCCUGGACUGAGCUACUGAACUCUAAAUCCAAGGAUGACUAAUGUAAGCCUAAAGGGUAAUCUGCAAAUACUGCUCCAUUAAUAUUCAAUGAUAAAUGAUAUUGCUUUAGAAUCAAAUUCACAUAAACAGAAGCUUCAGCUGUAUGUCCGCACCCUGGGAACAUUAAAUUGUAAGCCACGUCUUGUGAGGCAGAAUGACAUUAAUACCAGACCUGAUGAAGACAGCACAAAAAGUAAAUCUCAACACAACCUCACAAUAUUAAUAAAGCAAAAAUUUUAAAUACAGUAAUGUAUUAGCAAGGAGCAAAGGCCCAGAGAGCGAGGAAGCCAGGAGAUGAGCUCUCCCACCUUGUGACUGGGAUUGCGGAGCAGGUGGCAUGACAGACCCUGGGGAAAACGGCAUCUCUUUCUUGGGAAAUUGUCGCUUCUCUUUUUCCCUUUUGGAUCAACACAUUUCAGGACUCGGCCAAACAGUGUAUUUAAAGAGAAAAAAGAGGACGAGAGAGCCAACGCAAAAUUAACCUAACACUCGGCAAAUAACAGGGAUCUGCAGCAAAGUUUUAGUAUUCUUGCAACCACAUUUCAGUUUAGCUUAAUUUAGCCAAUUCCCCAAAUGUGCAGGGUUUCC